UAAUACAGAGGUCCCAAGCGUUGUUCGGAUUUACUGGGCGUAAAGGGUGCGUAGGCGGCUAGAAAAGUUUGGUGUGAAAUCUUCGGGCUCAACCCGGAAACUGCACUGAAAACUAUCUGGCUAGAGGAUCGGAGAGGAGAUUGGAAUUCUCGGUGUAGCAGUGAAAUGCGUAGAUAUCGAGAGGAACACCGGUUGCGAAGGCGGAUCUCUGGACGGUUCCUGACGCUGAGGCACGAAAGCUAGGGUAGCGAAGAGGAUUAGAUACCCUCGUAGUCCUAGCCGUAAACGGUGCACACUUGCUGUGGGCGGAUUCGACCCCGUCCGUGGCGAAGCUAACGCGAUAAGUGUGCCGCCUGGGGAGUACGGUCGCAAGAUUA
Molecule: ribosomal RNA, 377 nt
Filed under: uncultured Verrucomicrobiota bacterium
Lineage: Bacteria; Pseudomonadati; Verrucomicrobiota
Description: bacterial SSU rRNA
Rfam family: Bacterial small subunit ribosomal RNA
Source: RNAcentral